CACGCCGUAAACGAUCAAUACUAGGUGUGCGGGGACUGACCCCCUGCGUGCCGGAGUUAACACAAUAAGUAUUGCACCUGGGGAGUACGAUCGCAAGGUUGAAACUCAAAGGAAUUGACG
RNAcentral lists this ribosomal RNA (120 nucleotides) under uncultured bacterium. RNAcentral's name for it is "partial 16S ribosomal RNA". It matches the Rfam family "Bacterial small subunit ribosomal RNA", at positions 796 to 915 of the family's 1533-position model. The record is from RNAcentral.